RNAcentral lists this unclassified non-coding RNA (1411 nucleotides) under Leishmania donovani. RNAcentral's name for it is "gene:unknown". The record is from RNAcentral. Lineage: Eukaryota; Euglenozoa; Kinetoplastea; Trypanosomatida; Trypanosomatidae.
CCGCCGGCGUUCCACACCCACGCACACGUUUUGUGUGUGUGUAUGUGUGUGUGUGUGUGUGUGUGUGUGUGUGUGUGUGUGUGUGUGUGUGUGUGUGUGUGUGUGUCAGUGUAUCAGUCUCCGUCUUGUACCCACUCUCUGUUCCCCGCCCCCUCCUCCGACUCGCCUUCUCUUUCGCCUUCCCGCUUUCAUUCGAAAGAUGUUCCUGAAGCUGCAAGUUGUCGAGAAGGGCACAAGGACUUCCAGAAGGCCACCAAAAUCGCGUCUUUCCCAAUUCCUGACCACGUGGAGAGCAGCCGCUUCCUCGUCCGCAGGACGCUGUUUCUUACGACCUUGGCCUUGAGUCGCUUGGUGAAGUCGUCUGCUUCAGGGGUGGCGGGCAGAACGUCGCUGUUGGCGAUGCACUGGUGGUGUACUGUCCCGGUGGCUACAGCGAGCACCAGGAUGUGCCCGCUGAGGCGCACUGGUGCGUACUUAAGCAAGACCGCAAGUACGUGCCCGUCAACUUCAGCGGGCUACCUGCUGCCGUGUCUAUCCGCGAGCUGUGCCGAUUGAAGCCGCUGGGCAUUGCCCUUAUCACUGCUGCCAGUGGCGGCACCAGAAGCAUCGAGGUGCAGCUUCUCGAAGUACGGCUGCAAAUGCGUCGCGGGCACGUGCAGCACGCCAGAGAAGGCCGAAUUCCUGCGCGGCAUCUGGUGCGACUAGGUCAUCUAUAAGAAGCUUGAGGAGGAGUUAGCGGCAGGCAUGUGCUGAUUGGCCCCCAACGGCUUUGAUAUCGUGUACGAGGGAGUGGGCAGCACCCUGCAGCGGAUGGCUGUCGAGCACCUUACGCUGCACGGCCGUCUGGUUUUCAUCGGAUGCAUCAGUGGUGCCAAGAACGGCUCAUCGUGGCAUCACUAUGCCGACAAAGUGGAACAGAACCGACUACGUGCCUCUGCAGAACUUCCUCCAUCGCCGCAGCGCAUCUGUGUUUUGGUUUCUUGCUGCCACAUUUCCUCCGUUCUUCGGGCGUGCCUUGCAAGCAUCCAGAUGCUAGAUACUGGAAAGCUGUAUCAGCGUUGCGGCUGGAGCAAGUGGCUGGCGCGGUGGACUACGUACACCCCGGCAAGAAUGCGGUCCUCCUGGUGUGCGAUUAGGCGUGUGUGCGCUUAUCGGCGCCAACGGGGCUCUUCCUCUGCUUCAAGACACGCAAAAGAGCACACGCAAGCUCUUCGCAUCACUCCCGCCACAUACACGCACAGAGAUGUCCAUGUGUUAUUCUCUCGACCUCUUUGUUGUCUGUCUCCUCCCAGUAUGUACUAGACUCCCAGUUGCACUUUUGCUUUUCCACGCUCUCCCCUCCCCCCUCUCUCCUGUCCUUUUGCGACUCUCUCGCCACUCUCACACUUGUUCACGCAAUCCUCUUCGGCAG